CCUGUUUAUCAAAAACAUGGCCUUUUGGUUUGGGUAAGUAUGAAAGGUUUGACCUGCCCAGUGGUUUUAUCUAAACGGCUGCAGUGAAUAACUGUACAAAGGUAGCGAAAUCAGUUGUCCUUUAAAUGGGGAAAGGUAUGAAAGGUUUGACGAUAAAAAAGCUGUCUCUUAAAAAUAUUAUGAAGUUUCCAUUUAAGUGAAAAGGCUUAAAUUUUUGAAAAAGACGAGAAGACCCUAUUGAGCUUGAUUAUAUUUUUUUAUUAGCGGGGAUUGAAGUUUUAUUGGGGCAAUAGGAAGCUAAAAAGAACGCUUCUUUUUAGAGUAGAGAUCCUUCAUGGGAGAAAUAAGCAAAAGCUACCAUAGGGAUAACAGCGUUAUCUUUCUUGAGAGUUCUGAUUAAGGGAAAGGUUUGCGACCUCGAUGUUGGAUUAAAAUAUCUUUUUGGUGCAGCAGCUAAAAAAGUAAGACUGUUCGUCUUUUAAAAUUUUACGUGAUCUGAGUUCAGACCG
Molecule: ribosomal RNA, 509 nt
Filed under: Archivesica gigas
Lineage: Eukaryota; Metazoa; Mollusca; Bivalvia; Venerida; Vesicomyidae
Description: partial 16S ribosomal RNA
Rfam family: Bacterial large subunit ribosomal RNA
Source: RNAcentral